UAUCUUCAACCUUCUUGGUUUCUUGAUCAAGAAGGCUUGGAAUUUGGAGGCUUUUGCUGGCUUUCCUCUCAAAGCCAGCUCCUCUUAAAUGAAUUAGUAGGGUCUACUUUGCUGAUCCUUGACGUGAUAAGAUAACUUUCUACGUCUUGGGCUUUUGCAAACCUGCUUCUAACUGUCUCGUCAGAGACUGACCUAUCAUAUAUAUAAAC
RNAcentral lists this unclassified non-coding RNA (209 nucleotides) under uncultured Russula. Its description in RNAcentral is "sequence contains ITS2". The record is from RNAcentral. Lineage: Eukaryota; Fungi; Basidiomycota; Agaricomycetes; Russulales; Russulaceae.